UAUCGUUACGCGCGUCGCUUAGG
Molecule: microRNA, 23 nt
Filed under: Bombyx mori (domestic silkworm)
Lineage: Eukaryota; Metazoa; Arthropoda; Insecta; Lepidoptera; Bombycidae
Description: bmo-miR-3345
Source: miRBase by way of RNAcentral